GGUCGGGAGUAUGAGGGCUAUACAAUACCUGUAAAGGGAAAUCCCUCUGGCCGGUUCUGUUGGACGGUUGUUGAAGCUCCCGACUUUUUUGCG
Desulfovibrio sp. is the source of this 93-nucleotide small RNA. It matches the Rfam family "sRNA-Xcc1". The record is from Rfam. NCBI's taxonomy places the organism in Bacteria, Pseudomonadati, Thermodesulfobacteriota, Desulfovibrionia, Desulfovibrionales, Desulfovibrionaceae.